RNAcentral lists this ribosomal RNA (258 nucleotides) under uncultured bacterium. Its description in RNAcentral is "partial 16S ribosomal RNA". It matches the Rfam family "Bacterial small subunit ribosomal RNA", at positions 524 to 777 of the family's 1533-position model. The record is from RNAcentral.
GACGAACCGUGCGAACGUUAUUCGGAAUCAUUGGGCUUAAAGGGUGCGUAGGCGGGCUCGUGAGUCAGGGGUGAAAUCCCACGGCCCAACCGUGGAAGUGCCUCUGAUACCGCGGGCCGCUCGAGGGGGGGAUAGGGGCGUGCGGAACUUCCGGUGGAGCGGUGAAAUGCGUAGAUAUCGGAAGGAACACCGGUGGCGAAAGCGGCGCGCUGGAUCCCUACUGACGCUGAGGCACGAAAGCCAGGGGAGCAAACGGGG